This is a non-coding RNA of Vicia faba (fava bean), 327 nucleotides long. The record is from the annotation of a GenBank genome assembly. NCBI's taxonomy places the organism in Eukaryota, Viridiplantae, Streptophyta, Magnoliopsida, Fabales, Fabaceae.
AUGGUCGUUUUCUCUGUAAAACCCUUAUUCACCACCAUCUUUGUCGUUUCCCUCACUUUCCUUGUCGUUUUCACAUUGCUAUCGCCUCGUUACCCUUUCUCCCCAAAAUCGGAUUUCCGGAGAACCCUCACUAGGGGAGGUAGAUAUCAUGGAAUGGUGACCUUGCAAUCAAAUUGCUCUACCAUUAGAAAGCACUGGAUAUAUCAGAGUGGAUUGCUACGAUGGCCUCAACCAAAUAUGAAAAGAUGUGGGUGGUUGAAGACGACUCUUGAAUUUCAACUUCAGGACCCUAUGUUGAUGUUCGAUAUUCUUUUGCUUGUUUCUUGA